CUGGAGGGGUCUGGAGAAAAUUUAUCCGUUGGAGGGGUCUGGUUGGCACUGUUGAAGUCCGAUUGGCACUGUCGAAGGUUGAUGGCUGGAGAGGUACGGAAGACACCGGAGACAGUUGGUCACUAUAGAAAUUCAGCUGCUGGAGCUCGUUCGUUGUAGAAGUUCGUUUGGAAUCCAUCUGCUGUAGAAGUUCAGACGGAGUUCGGUUCUUGUAGGAGUUCGGAAGGAGGCCGCUUACUGUAGAAGCUCGGAUGGAGAUCGAUUGCCGUGGAAGUCCGAAUGGAGACCAC
Molecule: long non-coding RNA, 290 nt
Filed under: Elaeis guineensis (African oil palm)
Lineage: Eukaryota; Viridiplantae; Streptophyta; Magnoliopsida; Arecales; Arecaceae
Description: long non-coding RNA (EGUI_LNC081440)
Source: RNAcentral